Molecule: transfer RNA, 59 nt
Filed under: Mesodinium rubrum
Lineage: Eukaryota; Ciliophora; Litostomatea; Cyclotrichida; Mesodiniidae
Rfam family: tRNA
About the family: Transfer RNA (tRNA) molecules are approximately 80 nucleotides in length. Their secondary structure includes four short double-helical elements and three loops (D, anti-codon, and T loops).
Source: RNAcentral
UAGCUCAGUUGGUCAUAGCGCGGGACUAUCAAUUCCGUGGUCGUCGGUUCGAUUCUGGC